CCUACGGGAGGCAGCAGUAGGGAAUCUUCCGCAAUGGACGAAAGUCUGACGGAGCAACGCCGCGUGAACGAUGAAGGCCUUCGGGUCGUAAAGUUCUGUUGUUAGGGAAGAACAAGUGCUAGUUAAAUAAGCUGGCACCUUGACGGUACCUAACCAGAAAGCCACGGCUAACUACGUGCCAGCAGCCGCGGUAAUACGUAGGUGGCAAGCGUUGUCCGGAAUUAUUGGGCGUAAAGCGCGCGCAGGCGGUUUCUUAAGUCUGAUGUGAAAGCCCCCGGCUCAACCGGGGAGGGUCAUUGGAAACUGGGAAACUUGAGUGCAGAAGAGGAAAGUGGAAUUCCAAGUGUAGCGGUGAAAUGCGUAGAGAUUUGGAGGAACACCAGUGGCGAAGGCGACUUUCUGGUCUGUAACUGACGCUGAGGCGCGAAAGCGUGGGGAGCAAACAGGAUUAGAUACCCUGGUAGUCCACGCUGUAAACGAUGAGUGCUAAGUGUUAGAGGGUUUCCGCCCUUUAGUGCUGAAGUUAACGCAUUAAGCACUCCGCCUGGGGAGUACGGUCGCAGACUGAAACCUUAAAUGAAUUGACGG
RNAcentral lists this ribosomal RNA (588 nucleotides) under uncultured bacterium. RNAcentral describes it as "bacterial SSU rRNA". It matches the Rfam family "Bacterial small subunit ribosomal RNA", at positions 338 to 916 of the family's 1533-position model. The record is from RNAcentral.